This 1479-nucleotide long non-coding RNA is filed under the name Bemisia tabaci. Its description in RNAcentral is "lncRNA ENSSSA3NGG010063". Lineage: Eukaryota; Metazoa; Arthropoda; Insecta; Hemiptera; Aleyrodidae. The record is from RNAcentral.
AAGGACUACCGGCGGUUUUUUUCUCUUUCCCCGUUUUCCACCCGUUUUUCCGCUUCGCCAAGUCCGCUCGCUUUCGCAAUUUUCCGACGAUUUCGCGAGAAAACGUAGCGUCGAACUUCAACCGCCCCCGCUACCUCAAAAGUUCAGCCGCGGCUAGUGUGUUUUUUGUUUUGUUUUGUUUUUUUCAAAAUUCUGCGGAGAUUCGCCUUCAGAACUCCAGAUUUUCGAGGAUUUUUACGAGACUUUUUCAGGUUUUUUCAAGACCUUUGAAAGGUGAAGUACUACCGGCUGUGUCGACUAUAUUUUCGCGUAUGACCGACGUUUUCGCGAGAGAACGUAGCGUCGAACUUCAACUGCCCCCGCUCUCUUGAAAUCUCAGCCGUGGCUAGUGUUUUUUUUUUUUUGAAAAUUCUUUGAAGAUUUCUUCAAGAUUCCAAAUUGCUCAAGAUUUUUUCAAGAUUUUUCAAAGGUGGAGUACUUCCGGCUGUGUCGACUUUAUUUUCGCGUAUGACCGAUCAUUCCCGAGGAAACGUAACGUUGAACUUAUCUUGAAUCCCAACUUGCCCCAGCUUCCUUGAAAUUUGGCCGCGGAUAGUGCCUUCUGUAAGGAUUCUGUUGUGUUUUCCUCAAGAUUUUUAGAUUUUUUAAAGGUUUUUCAAGAUAUCAUAAGGAAAAAAGCCCUGUCGACUGUAUUCCGGCGUGUGUUCGGUGUUUAUCGUGUGAUUUUGUGAGUGUUCUGUGCUUGUGAGCACAUUUUUCGGGCAAUGUUAAUGAUCUAGAUUUCGCGUGUCUCUUAUGGGUCAAGGAUACCUGUUGGAGUUACGGAAACCAGCUCAUGACCUUGAGGCCUAAUCUCUCCAGUGUUUGAAACGAGAUUUCCUUAAAAAAAGGGCCUUUUAAAUGCGUUCUGAAUCAGAUCUAAUUAUUACUCAUGAGAUUUCUUCGAGGAGAACACUGCAGUCAAAUCGAGCAACUGUUCCGCCAGCAUGUACAUUGGAAGUGGCGCAGGCUCUACGACAGCCAUGCCCACAGACUCUGUGCCGAUUGUCGACAGUUCAAGGGGAGAGCCCAAAAAAGAAAAAGUUCCUACCAGUAAGUAUUUUAAGCCCACAAUUCUUCUGAAUUUACAUGUAUCACCCAUAGAGAUUUUUUGAGAGAGCAUUUUUUUGGCAUAAAGAUGAUGAGGACCAUAUAGGCAGCUUGCCCAGGUAUGCUUUGGAUACGUGAAAAGUAAGAGUAAAGAGAUGAAAAGUUUGCAUGAGACUGAAUUAUUUGUUAUGGUCUGAAGUGAAUAUUUACUUCUACAGGAUAAAAGCACUUUUUGGAUCAAAAUGGUCGUGUGAUGAGUGCGCUAUUUGACACUGGCACCUGAAAUGGUCCUGAAAUAAAGUUUCUUGAACCAAAUAAAACCUUCAAUUUUCGUGAAAAGCGAUAAAAUACUCUCAUAUCAGUAGCUAACAUUUCAAAGAAUUGCAUCUU